RNAcentral lists this ribosomal RNA (663 nucleotides) under Vibrio sp. RNAcentral's name for it is "bacterial SSU rRNA". It matches the Rfam family "Bacterial small subunit ribosomal RNA", at positions 349 to 1004 of the family's 1533-position model. The record is from RNAcentral. Lineage: Bacteria; Pseudomonadati; Pseudomonadota; Gammaproteobacteria; Vibrionales; Vibrionaceae.
CAGCAGUGGGGAAUAUUGCACAAUGGGCGAAAGCCUGAUGCAGCCAUGCCGCGUGUGUGAAGAAGGCCUUCGGGUUGUAAAGCACUUUCAGCAGUGAGGAAGGCAUUAAGAUUAAUACUCUUAGUGUUUGACGUUAGCUGCAGAAGAAGCACCGGCUAACUCCGUGCCAGCAGCCGCGGUAAUACGGAGGGUGCGAGCGUUAAUCGGAAUUACUGGGCGUAAAGCGCAUGCAGGUGGUGGAUUAAGUCAGAUGUGAAAGCCCGGGGCUCAACCUCGGAACUGCAUUUGAAACUGGUUCACUAGAGUACUGUAGAGGGGGGUAGAAUUUCAGGUGUAGCGGUGAAAUGCGUAGAGAUCUGAAGGAAUACCGGUGGCGAAGGCGGCCCCCUGGACAGAUACUGACACUCAGAUGCGAAAGCGUGGGGAGCAAACAGGAUUAGAUACCCUGGUAGUCCACGCCGUAAACGAUGUCUACUUGGAGGUUGUGGCCUUGAGCCGUGGCUUUCGGAGCUAACGCGUUAAGUAGACCGCCUGGGGAGUACGGUCGCAAGAUUAAAACUCAAAUGAAUUGACGGGGGCCCGCACAAGCGGUGGAGCAUGUGGUUUAAUUCGAUGCAACGCGAAGAACCUUACCUACUCUUGACAUCCAGAGAAUUCCAGAGA